This 253-nucleotide ribosomal RNA is filed under the name uncultured bacterium. RNAcentral describes it as "partial 16S ribosomal RNA". It matches the Rfam family "Bacterial small subunit ribosomal RNA", at positions 524 to 776 of the family's 1533-position model. The record is from RNAcentral.
UACGAAGGGGGCUAGCGCUGUUCGGAAUUACUGGGCGUAAAGCGCGCGCAGGCGGCCUUUCAAGUCAGGGGUGAAAGCCCGGAGCUCAACUCCGGAAUUGCCUUUGAAACUGUCAGGCUCGAGUACGGGAGAGGUGAGUGGAAUUCCCAGUGUAGAGGUGAAAUUCGUAGAUAUUGGGAAGAACACCGGUGGCGAAGGCGGCGACCUGGUCCUCUACUGACGCUGAGGCGCGAAAGCGUGGGGAGCAAACAGG